GCCAGGGUAUGAUGGUGUGCCGAUAGUCCCAGCUACUCAGGAGGCUGACAGGAAGAUCACUUGGGUCCAAGAGCUCUGGGCUGUAGUGCCCUAUGCCAACCAGUUGUCCACACUAAGUUUUGCAUCAAUAUGGUGACCUCCUAGGAGCAGGGCACCACCAGGUUUCCCUAGUAGGAGUGAACCAUCCCCCAUUGGAAAUGGAGCAGGUCAAAAUUCCUGUGUUGAUCAGUAGUGGGAUUGCACCUGUGAAUAACCGCUGCACUCCAGCCUGAGCAACAUAGUGAGAUCUUGUCUCU
Molecule: signal recognition particle RNA, 296 nt
Filed under: Cebus imitator (Panamanian white-faced capuchin)
Lineage: Eukaryota; Metazoa; Chordata; Mammalia; Primates; Cebidae
Description: Metazoan signal recognition particle RNA (ENSCCAG00000010299.1)
Rfam family: Metazoan signal recognition particle RNA
About the family: The signal recognition particle (SRP) is a universally conserved ribonucleoprotein.
Source: RNAcentral